CGUUUUGUGCUGCUCAUUUGGUGGAGCAUGGACUCCGUCACGCCAAGGGUCGUGGGUUCGAAUCCCGCCAGAGCGA
Dallia pectoralis (Alaska blackfish) is the source of this 76-nucleotide non-coding RNA. The record is from the annotation of a GenBank genome assembly. NCBI's taxonomy places the organism in Eukaryota, Metazoa, Chordata, Actinopteri, Esociformes, Umbridae.